GACGAACCGUGCAAACGUUAUUCGGAAUCAUUGGGCUUAAAGAGCGCGUAGGCGGCGUCGUAAGUUGGAGGUGAAAUCCCAUCGGCUCAACCGUGGAACUGCCCCCAAUACUGCGACGCUUGAGGGAGGUAGGGGCAUGCGGAACUUCCAGUGGAGCGGUGAAAUGUGUUGAGAUUGGAAGGAACGCCAGUGGCGAAAGCGGCAUGCUGGAUCUCUUCUGACGCUGAGGCGCGAAAGCUAGGGUAGCGAACGGG
RNAcentral lists this ribosomal RNA (254 nucleotides) under uncultured bacterium. RNAcentral describes it as "partial 16S ribosomal RNA". It matches the Rfam family "Bacterial small subunit ribosomal RNA", at positions 524 to 776 of the family's 1533-position model. RNAcentral also lists the same sequence under 1 other name. The record is from RNAcentral.